Molecule: non-coding RNA, 1742 nt
Organism: Taeniopygia guttata (zebra finch)
Lineage: Eukaryota; Metazoa; Chordata; Aves; Passeriformes; Estrildidae
Source: RefSeq, a predicted model, not a curated record
AUUUUUGAGGUGAAAAGUGCCGGUUUUGAGGUAAAAAAAGUCGAUUUGGAGGUUAAAUUGUGAAUUUUGGAGGUCGGGAGGAAAUCCUGAAGUAAAAAUUGCAGAUUUUGAGGUGAAAAGUGCAAAUUCUGAGGGGAAAAGUGCAGAUUUUGGGGUAAAAAUGCAGAUUUUGGGAUGAAAAGUGCAGAUUCUGAGGAGGAAAGUGCAGAUUUUGAGUGAAAAGUGCAGAUUUAGAGGGAAAAAAAGUGCAUUUGGGGGUGAAAAAAGCGGAUUUUGGGGUGGAAAGUGCAGAUUUUGGGGUAAAAAUGCUGAUUUUUGAGGUGAAAAGUGCAGGUUUUGAGGUGGAAAGUGCCGAUUUUGGGGUCUGGGGCAGAUUUUGUGGAGGGUGAGGAAAUCGUGAGGUAAAAAGUGCAGAUUUUGAGAUAAAAAUGCAGAUUUUUGGGGUGAAAAUGAAGAUUUUUGAGGUUAAAAUGAAGAUUUUUUGGGAUGAAAAUGCAGAUUUUGGGGUAAAAUUUCAGAUUUUGAGGUACAAAGUGCCGGUUUUGAGGUUAAAAAAGUUGAUUUGGAGGUUAAAUUGUGAAUUUUGGAGGUCGGGAGGAAAUCCUGAAGUAAAAAGUGCAGGUUUUGAGGUGAAAAGUGCAGAUUUUUGGGGUAAAAAUGCAGAUUUUGGGGUGAAAAGUGCAGAUUUUGGGGACAUAGGGUAAUCAUAAAAAAAGUGGAGGUUUUGAGGUAAAAAGUGCAGAUUUUGGGGUAAAAAUGCUGAUUUUUGAGGUGAAAAAUGCAGGUUUUGAGGUGAAAAGUGCAGAUUUUGGGAUCUGAGGCAGAUUUUGUGGAGGGUGAGGAAAUCGUGAGGUAAAAAGUGCAGAUUUUGAGAUAAAAAUGCAGAUUUUUGGGGUGAAAAUUAAGAUUUUUGGCGUGAAAAUGAAGAUUUUUGGGAUGAAAAUGCAGAUUUUGGGGUAAAAUUUCAGAUUUUGAGGUAAAAAAAGUCGAUUUGGAGGUUAAAUUGUGAAUUUUGGAGGUUGGGAGGAAAUCCUGAAGUAAAAAUUGCAGAUUUUGAGGUGAAAAUGCAGAUUUUGGGGUAAAAUUUCAGAUUUUGAGGUGAAAAGUUCAGAUUUUGGGGUAAAAAUGCUGAUUUUUGAGGUGAAAAGUGCAGGUUUUGAGGUGGAAAGUGCCGAUUUUGGGGUCUGGGGCAGAUUUUGUGGUGGGUGAGGAAAUCGUGAGGUAAAAAUGCAGAUUUUGAGACAAAAAUGCAGAUUUUCGGGGUGAAAAUGAAGAUUUUUGAGGUAAAAAUGCAGAUUUUUGGGAUGAAAAUGCAGAUUUUGGGGUAAAAUGUCAGAUUUUGAGGUAAAAAAAGGCGAUUUGGAGGUUAAAUUGUGAAUUUUGGAGUCCGGGAGGAAAUCCUGAAGUAAAAAGUGCCGAUUUUGGGGGUAAAAAUGCAAAUUUGUGGGUGAAAAAGGAAAUCUUGGGAUAUGGGGAGAAAAUUGUGAGGUAAAAAAUUCAGAUUUUGGUGUCUGGCUGCAGAUUUUGGGGUGAAAAUGAAGAUUUUGGGGGGACUGGAACGGUUUUGGGUGGGAAAAUGCAGAUUUUGGGGCGAGGAGGAGAAAUUUUGAGGUGAAAAUUGGAGAUUUUGGGGUGGAAAAUGUCAAUAUUGAGGUUGAAGGGUCAAUAUUGAGGUGAAAAAGGCAAAUUUGGGACUAAAAACAGCUGAUUUUGGGGCAAAAAUGGCAAAUUUCAGGCAAAAA